ACCUGAGGACCCCCACUGGAAAAAACAACACCACCACCAACACCACCAAGAGAAAGAAAAAAAAAAAAAGGAAAAAAUCUCCAAUCUCCUACAAAACCCCCCAAAAAAAACCCCGGGAGUGAGGACGUGUGCGGAAUGUUUGGGAAUGAGAGGAUGCUGAGGAUGAGUGAGUGAGGCUCGGAACAAAAAUCCCAACGUUUGGUGAGAACCCCGGCAUCCAGGAGGGAAUUCUGUGCCCCAAAAAUUCCAAGGAAAACACCAAAAACAACAACAAAAAAAAAAUAGCAGGGGGAAAGAAAAAACCAAACCUGAAAAUUCCCAGGAGCGGCUCAGAGGUGAAAAUGAGGGAAAAACGGGGAAAAUUGGGAUUCAAGUGGUGCUCUGUGAGGUUUUGGCUGCUGGAGAGAGAGAGAGAGAGAGAGGUGGAAAAUUGGGCAGGAUUUGCUCCUCAAUUCUUGGAGGUUUUAUUUUUGUUCAUUAAUUUUAUUUUUUCUUUUAUUUUUUCUCUUUUUUUCAAUUUUUUCCCUUUUUUUCCCUUUAUUUUUCUUUUAUUUUUCCAUUUUCCUUUAAUUUUUUCCACUUUUUUCUUUUAAUUUUUUAAUUUUUUUUCAUUUUUUUCUUAAAUUUUCAUUGAUUUUUCCCUUUAUUCUUUAUUUUUUUCUUGAUUUUUUCUUUUAAUUUUUUUCCUGUUCCCAUUUUUCUUUUCUCCAUUUUCAUUUUUCUUUAUUCCUUUCAUUUUUCCUUAUUUAUUUUUCCUUUUCUAUUUUUAUUUACCUUUUUUCUUUAUUUUUUCCCGUUUUCUUCAUUUUAUCACCACUUCUUUUAAUCUUUCUCAUUUUUAUUUAUUUUAACUCCCCCAUUUUUCUUCAUUCAUCCAUUUUUCUUCAAUUUUUAUCCCAUUUUCUUUAAUAUAUUUCCUUUUUUCCAAUGUUUCCUUUUUUCCCUUCUUUUUUCCAUUUCUUUUAAUUUUUUCCCUUUUUCCAAUUUUUCUUUUUUCCCAUUUAUUUUAAUUGUUAAUUUCAAUCCCCCAUCCCUUCCCAUUUCUAAUUUCACCCCUUAUUUUUUCCCCCUUUUCUCCCCCCAUUUCCCCCACUUCCAAAUUAUUUUUAUUUUUCUCCUCCAACAUUUUUUUUUUGCUAAAAAAUUCCAUUUUUCCUCCUCCUCAUCCCUUUUAAUUCCCUUUUCGCUCCCUCCCAGCGCUGCCCCAGCUCGUACAGGGUAUCAGACAUGAAUGUGCCUUCAGUGCUCUGCCCAACGCGCAGAACCGACAAAAACAACCCAAAAUCCGCCCAGAAAAACCCAAAAUCCACCCAAAAAACCCCAAAAAUCCCAGGUAAAACACAAAAAAAACCCCCCCGAGGAUCCCGUUCCCAGCGUUGCCUUUUUUCUUUUGAUUUCGGGGCGGGGGGCGGCGAUUCCCAAAGGUGGAAGAAAACAAAAAAAAAAAAGAAAAUUUGAGAAAAACAAAAAAAUUUAAAAAUCUAAAAAUUAAUAAUUAAAAAAAAAAAGUCGUUUCCGGUCGGGAGGAGCCGAUUUCCGGUUCUGGUUGUUUCCGGUUCCGGUUUGUGUUUCCGGUUCCGGUUUGCAGUUCCGGUUCCGGUUGUAUUUCCGGUUCCGGUUGUUUCCGGUUCCGGUUGUUUCCGGUUCCGCUCCCGGCUGAGGCAGCGCAGAAUAAACACUGAGAGUAGUGCA
Molecule: long non-coding RNA, 1692 nt
Filed under: Cyanistes caeruleus (blue tit)
Lineage: Eukaryota; Metazoa; Chordata; Aves; Passeriformes; Paridae
Description: lncRNA (ENSCCEG00000021860.1)
Source: RNAcentral